Sapajus apella (tufted capuchin) is the source of this 1065-nucleotide long non-coding RNA. RefSeq lists it as uncharacterized. The transcript is spliced from 3 exons. The record is from RefSeq and is a predicted model, not a curated record. NCBI's taxonomy places the organism in Eukaryota, Metazoa, Chordata, Mammalia, Primates, Cebidae.
AGCUUUUUUAAGCACUGCCACUCUGCUUAGAGCCUCCAAACCUGGCCGAGCCUGGCCGGAACACACCUUGCCUUACCCUGCAGCUUUUUUCCCUGCCCGGCUGUGACUUGCUGCCGGGCUGGAUUGUGGGUGGUUCCGGUUCCUGUUCCCGUCUGGCCAGGAGCAAAAGGGAAGGGUGCUUACCCUUUCCACCCCACAGGUUUCUGCAGGUUUUGGUUCCAGAAAUAAUUUCGGAGGGCUAGAGAAGGAAAGAGAAAGCAGAGCAAGAGCUUGGAGACAUUUCAGUACUGAAAGCACGUUUCCAGUUCUACUAAAGUAUGCAUGCAUAUACACAGUGAGGCUGCAAAGACACAGGGAUGACCUGCCUGCAGAUAGGAGCUGCCAACUCUAGGUCUCCUUUCUGCUGAGAGCUGCACUUAUUGGGACAACCUGCCUAUGGAAAGGAGCUAUCCGUUUAGGAUCUGAGAGCUGUACUGUUGCUCAAUAAAACAGCUCUUCACCUUGCUCUGCCUCCAUUUGUCUGCAUACCUCAUUCUUCCUGGAAGUAGGACAACAACUUGGCACCUGCCUAAUGGUGGGACUGAAAGAGCUGUAACAGAAACAGUAUUGAAACACCCCCCAUCGCUUGUCACGUUGUGGGUGAUGAGAAAGACAAAAGGAGAGAAGAGCUGCAGCCCUUCGGGAAGCCCAGACUUAAGAGCUCCCUGAGUCAAGGCUGUGACACUCUCUUUGGGGCUCUGUGGUUCUUAGCAUCUCCAAUCUCCCAGGUGCCACCGUGUUCCCUAAGUCCAGCAGUGGAAGCUGCUUUACAGCAGCGCCCCACUCUACUGAUACUAAUUUACUGUGUUAGUUCAUUUUCAUGCUGUUGAUGAAGACAUAUCUGAGACUGGGAAGAAAAAUAGGUUUAAUGGACUCACAGUUCCAUGUGGUGGGGAAGGUGGAAGGUGAAAUGCAUUUCUUACGUGGUGCUGGCAAGAAAGAACGAGAGAGAAGCAAAAGCGGAAACCCCCUAUAAAACUGUCAGAUCUUGUGAGACUUAUUCACUACCAUGAAAACCGUAUGGGG